RNAcentral lists this transfer RNA (100 nucleotides) under Shewanella eurypsychrophilus. RNAcentral's name for it is "Shewanella sp. YLB-08 tRNA-OTHER". RNAcentral also lists the same sequence under 1 other name. The record is from RNAcentral. Lineage: Bacteria; Pseudomonadati; Pseudomonadota; Gammaproteobacteria; Alteromonadales; Shewanellaceae.
GCGGGCAUAGCUCAGUUGGUAGAGCAACUGACUGACUCUUUACACAAGCAGCAGUAGGUCCCCUUCUUUCAUAAAUAGCCGACUCUUGGUGCCGGCACCA